RNAcentral lists this ribosomal RNA (460 nucleotides) under uncultured bacterium. RNAcentral's name for it is "partial 16S ribosomal RNA". It matches the Rfam family "Bacterial small subunit ribosomal RNA", at positions 338 to 795 of the family's 1533-position model. The record is from RNAcentral.
CCUACGGGUGGCAGCAGUGAGGAAUAUUGGUCAAUGGACGAGAGUCUGAACCAGCCAAGUAGCGUGAAGGAUGACUGCCCUAUGGGUUGUAAACUUCUUUUAUAAAGGAAUAAAACGAGGCACGUGUGCCUUUUUGCAUGUACUUUAUGAAUAAGGAUAGGCUAACUCCGUGCCAGCAGCCGCGGUAAUACGGAGGAUCCGAGCGUUAUCCGGAUUUAUUGGGUUUAAAGGGAGCGUAGGUGGGUUGUUAAGUCAGUUGUGAAAGUUUGCGGCUCAACCGUAAAAUUGCAAUUGAUACUGGCAGUCGUGAGUACAGUUGAGGUAGGCGGAAUUCGAGGUGUAGCGGUGAAAUGCUUAGAUAUCACGAAGAACCCCGAUUGCGAAGGCAGCUUACUAAACUGUGACUGACAUUGAUGCUCGAAAGUGUGGGUAUCAAACAGGAUUAGAUACCCUUGUAGUC